UACAUAGGGAGCAAGCGUUAUCCGGAUUUAUUGGGCGUAAAGGGAACGCAGGCGGUCUUUUAAGUCUGAUGUGAAAGCCUUCGGCUUAACCGGAGUAGUGCAUUGGAAACUGGGAGACUUGAGUGCAGAAGAGGAGAGUGGAACUCCAUGUGUAGCGGUGAAAUGCGUAGAUAUAUGGAAGAACACCAGUGGCGAAAGCGGCUCUCUGGUCUGUAACUGACGUUGAGGCUCGAAAGCGUGGGGAGCAAACAGG
This 253-nucleotide ribosomal RNA is filed under the name uncultured bacterium. RNAcentral's name for it is "partial 16S ribosomal RNA". It matches the Rfam family "Bacterial small subunit ribosomal RNA", at positions 524 to 776 of the family's 1533-position model. The record is from RNAcentral.